AGGGUGUAAACGCUGCAGACUUGGUGUUGGAAGCCCUUUGGGGGCAUUCAGUGCCGGAGAAAAGUUGUUAAGUCUGCUACUUGGGGAGUACGUCCGCAAGGAUGAAACUUAAAGGAAUUGGCGGGGGAGCACCGCAACGGGAGGAGCGUGCGGUUUAAUUGGAUUCAACACCGUAAAACUCACCAGGGAAGACUGUUACAUGAAGGCCGAGAUGAAGACUCUGCCAGAUUUUUCAGAGAGGUGGUGCAUGGCGUCAGUGACU
This 262-nucleotide ribosomal RNA is filed under the name uncultured archaeon. RNAcentral's name for it is "partial 16S ribosomal RNA". It matches the Rfam family "Archaeal small subunit ribosomal RNA", at positions 748 to 1008 of the family's 1478-position model. The record is from RNAcentral.